GCUAAGGCCGUGACAGCGGCGGGGGUAAGACGGGCCAAACGAACGGUAUGCGGAAGUACUGGGCUUAAAGGGUGCGUAGGCUGUGCAGAAAGGUGGGGGUGAAAUCCCUCGGCUUAACCGAGGAAUUGCGCCCAAAACUACUGUGCUUGAGGAAGACAGAGGUAAGCGGAACUUAGGGUGGAGCGGUGAAAUGCGUUGAUAUCCUAAGGAACACCGGUGGCGAAAGCGGCUUACUGGGUCUUUUCUGACGCUGAGGCACGAAAGCUAGGGUAGCGAACGGGAUUAGAUACCCUGGUAGUC
RNAcentral lists this ribosomal RNA (300 nucleotides) under uncultured Staphylothermus sp. RNAcentral describes it as "bacterial SSU rRNA". It matches the Rfam family "Bacterial small subunit ribosomal RNA", at positions 496 to 795 of the family's 1533-position model. The record is from RNAcentral. Lineage: Archaea; Thermoproteati; Thermoproteota; Thermoprotei; Desulfurococcales; Desulfurococcaceae.